RNAcentral lists this long non-coding RNA (364 nucleotides) under Lathyrus oleraceus (garden pea). RNAcentral describes it as "Pisum sativum (pea) long non-coding RNA (PSAT_LNC004969)". Lineage: Eukaryota; Viridiplantae; Streptophyta; Magnoliopsida; Fabales; Fabaceae. The record is from RNAcentral.
UUAAUUUAGCUUAAUCAUACUUAAUUGAUAUAACUAAAUAAAAAACAAUUUAAUCAAUUUAACUAAACCUAAUUUACUAAAUUGGUUAAAAGAGUUUAACUAAAGAUAAUGAUCAUAUAUAAUUUAGCUUAAUCAUACUUAAUUGAUAUAACUAAAUAAAAAACAAUUUAAUCAAUUUAACUAAACCUAAUUUACUAAAUUGGUUAAAAGAGUUUAACUAAAGAUAAUGAUCAUAUGAAAAAAAAACAAAUAAGAACAUAUAGACAUCUCAAAUCUCAAAAUCUAAUCAAGUUUGAAUUUUUAAAUCUAAGUUCAAUCAACAACGGAUCCAAGACAAACAUUCUCGAAUCGAUGAUGGGAAAAA